GGCGGGGGGUGGCACCGAAGAGAAAAGGGUUGGGUAAACUAAAUUUUGAGUAACUAAAAGGUUGGGUAAAUGAAAAACAAAACAACUCAAGGGUUGGGUAAUAAAAAGUUAUUGUCAUUUCCAAAGCAUGACUCACUUAAAUAUUGGAGACCGAAAAGCAAUGUCAACAGUCGUAUGUCAAUACAAUAUGUGAAUCAAUCAGAGUCACUAUCUUGAUCAUUUUCCGAUUUGUUGGGAGACAAAUGGUGUCUCCAAAGAAAGUACAUGUGAAGACAACAACAAAGUUUAGUUAUCAAACUUGUGUCACAGAAGUGGUAAAGGACAUGUGUGACAACUGAAUGGUAUUCUUUUGUAAAGGUUUUGGCCAGGGGUGGGUAUUUAUUUUUUAAUUGAUAUUUGAGGUUGGGUAAUCAAAUUUUUUGCUUUUUAAUGGUUGGGUCAGCAAAAUUUUUACCAGGAAAAACAUUUCUCUUCGGUGCCACCCCCCACCAUAAAUAAUGAUCCGUC
This is a non-coding RNA of Paramuricea clavata, 507 nucleotides long. The record is from the annotation of a GenBank genome assembly. NCBI's taxonomy places the organism in Eukaryota, Metazoa, Cnidaria, Anthozoa, Malacalcyonacea, Plexauridae.